AAGAGUUUGCAUAGUAUACUUGAUAAACAUUUGAAAAAAGAUGGAAUGUUUCUUUCACUCUAUGCAUCAUGCUUAUGUGACGGGGAAGGAUUGGAUUUCUUUUUUCCAACUUAGUACAUAUUGAUUUAUCGGUUAAUAUGUCAGUCAAACUUGAGUAUAGAAUGUGUGUUUAUUCAAGUAUACCAGUUUUGGUUAGUCUAUUAGAACUAGCAAGACCAGGAAAGAAAAAAUGAAGAAGAUCAUCCAUUUAUUCUGUUACUAGCUCUGACGAGUAAUCUCCUGCUCUUCGAGAAUAUAUCCUAACCGGAAGAUUUGCCCAGCCUAUUCCCAUGUAAGAGUGAGGCAAGAGAUUUAACUUUUAUUUACAAAGAAAAAAUCUUUCCAUUUGGUGUAAAGAAAAGUAGGAUGAAGCAAACAAUGAAGGAUCAGAACAACAGCUUCUGUAGUAUCAGGAAUUCUGCCUUUCCCAAUCAGCUUUCUUUCCUUUUUGGCCAUUUUUGACGCUGGUAAGAGUUUGUGACUUUAAAUAUAGUCCAUAAAUCAGAUGAAUAGGCCAAAGUUCAGCAAAAAAGAACAAAACUUUGGCUAAAAAGUUUUAUGACAAAACUAAUGAAUCCAG
This 619-nucleotide long non-coding RNA is filed under the name Nicotiana benthamiana. RNAcentral's name for it is "long non-coding RNA (NBEN_LNC034506)". The record is from RNAcentral. Lineage: Eukaryota; Viridiplantae; Streptophyta; Magnoliopsida; Solanales; Solanaceae.